This 659-nucleotide ribosomal RNA is filed under the name uncultured bacterium. RNAcentral describes it as "bacterial SSU rRNA". It matches the Rfam family "Bacterial small subunit ribosomal RNA", at positions 188 to 845 of the family's 1533-position model. The record is from RNAcentral.
GCAUGGAGAGUUCAUUAAAGAGAGCAAUUUUGGUUACAGACGAGCAUGCGCUCCAUUAGCCAGUUGGCGGGGUAACGGCCCACCAAAGCGACGAUGGAUAGGGGUUCUGAGAGGAAGGUCCCCCACAUUGGAACUGAGACACGGUCCAAACUCCUACGGGAGGCAGCAGUGAGGAAUAUCGGUCAAUGGUCGGCAGACUGAACCAGCCAAGUCGCGUGAGGGAAGACGGCCCUACGGGUUGUAAACCUCUUUUGUCGGAGAGUAAAGUACGCUACGUGUAGCGUAUUGCAAGUAUCCGAAGAAAAAGCAUCGGCUAACUCCGUGCCAGCAGCCGCGGUAAUACGGAGGAUGCGAGCGUUAUCCGGAUUUAUUGGGUUUAAAGGGUGCGUAGGCGGCACGCCAAGUCAGCGGUGAAAUUUCCGGGCUCAACCCGGAGUGUGCCGUUGAAACUGGCGAGCUAGAGUACACAAGAGGCAGGCGGAAUGCGUGGUGUAGCGGUGAAAUGCAUAGGUAUCACGCAGAACCCCGAUUGCGAAGGCAGCCUGCUAGGGUGAAACAGACGCUGAGGCACGAAAGCGUGGGUAUCGAACAGGAUUAGAUACCCUGGUAGUCCACGCAGUAAACGAUGAAUACUAACUGUUUGCGAUACAAUGUAAGCG